This 4631-nucleotide unclassified non-coding RNA is filed under the name Hevea brasiliensis (rubber tree). Lineage: Eukaryota; Viridiplantae; Streptophyta; Magnoliopsida; Malpighiales; Euphorbiaceae. The record is from RNAcentral.
AGAAAAUGAAGUUGUAAUGCGAAUGGCGCCAUCCCUCCUCCCCUGUAAAAGGAGUAAGGACUCUCCAGGCCCUGAGUAUAUACUAUUAUAUAUUCCUUUCGCUUCUGCUUUUUAUUGUCGAGACCUGCCGAUAUACCUCUUGUGUGAGGCACCGAAAGCAACCUGAAAAACACGAAAAAUGGGAAAGAAGAGACAAAAGAAAACAGAGCAACAAGAAAACCCUAAUGUUGCUGAAGCUGCUCGGAUUCGAAUUUCCCAAAUACUAGAGCAGUUCCGUGCUGCUAAGGAUCAAGUGUACACAUUUGAAGCUAAUUUAUCAAACCGUGAACGUGCUGUGGUGCAUGAAGUAUGCAAGAAAAUGGGUAUGAAAUCCAAGAGUUCUGGACGUGGGAAUCAGCGACGAGUCUCUGUUUACAAGAAUACAAAGAAUGCAGACACUGCAAAGGCAAAGGACAAUAUCACAUGUUUGAAUUUUUCAGAAGAAUCAAAACUCGUGUUGCAAGAAUUAUUUGCAAACUACCCACCUGAGGAUGGAGAGUUUGGUGCAAAAAUAGUUGGAAUUCGGAAAGGAAAGAAUAGUAAAAUUCGAGGAAUGAAAGAUGAUAUCUUCAGUAUGCCUUCAAUGACCAAAGCAGAUAUCAAAAAGAGAGUGGAAUCGCUGAAUUCUAGAAUAGAAAAGGCUGCAAACUUAAGACAGAUCGUUGAAGAGAGAUCUAGGCUUCCAAUUGCAUCCUUUAGGGAUGUCAUUACAUCCUCUGUAGAUUCUCACCAGGUUGUUCUUAUUUCUGGUGAGACUGGGUGUGGAAAGACUACACAGGUCCCACAAUUUUUAUUGGACCAUAAGUGGGGAAAAGGCGAGGCCUGUAAAAUAGUCUGCACACAACCUCGUCGUAUCUCAGCAACAUCAGUUGCUGAAAGAAUAUCUUAUGAAAGAGGAGAAAAUAUUGGAGAUGAUAUUGGGUACAAGAUUCGGUUAGAAAGUAAAGGUGGAAGAAACUCAUCAAUUGUGUUCUGCACAAAUGGGGUUCUACUGAGGGUGCUGGUUUCCAGGGGCACUAGUCGGUUGAAGAGGGAAGCUUCUAAUAAAUCGGGCAAGGAUGAUGUUUCUAACAUAACUCACAUUAUUGUGGAUGAAAUUCAUGAAAGGGAUCGCUACUCGGAUUUCAUUUUGGCAAUUAUCAGGUAAUUCAUUGUUGAAUUCAAAUUCUCAACUUCUUUGCUUGCUUUACUCUGGUGGGGACUUCAAUCGGGUUAAUAAAUUUUUUAUAUUGAUUAUUGUGACUGUAAAUUGGAAAUUCAAGUGGGGAACUGGGGAUAUUAAUGUGGAACAGUUGCUGUGUAGUUCUUUUGUUUUAUGUAUAGUACUUGAAUAUCAUUGUUGGAUUACUUUUGCUGAUGUUCUUGACUUGCAGAGACAUACUUCCUUCGUAUCCUCAUCUUCGGCUGGUUAGUUCAAAUUCUUAUGCUCUAUAUAUGUAUAAAUGCAUCCACUUUUCAGGCAUUGUUUCUUUUACUUUCAGCUGUUAGAUUCCAAUUACUGUUCCUUAUAUUAUAUUUUACCCAACAGAUAAUGAUGAGUGCUACCCUUGAUGCUGAACGUUUUUCACAAUAUUUUGGUGGCUGCCCAAUUAUCUGUGUUCCUGGGUUCACGUAUCCUGUUAAAAGUUUCUACUUGGAGGAUGUACUUUCUAUUCUAAAAUCUCCAGAUAAUAAUCAUAUUGAUUCUGCCAUGCCAAGUGCCCCCCAAAAAAGCCACGAGCUUACAGAAGAAGACAAAGCUGCUUUAGAUGAAGCUAUCAAUUUGGCUUGGACAAAUGAUGAAUUCGAUACCCUCCUGGAUUUGAUUUAUUCUGAAGGAACCCCAAAGGUUUAUAAUCACCAUGAUUCUUUGACUGGACUAACGCCACUAAUGGUCUUUGCUGGAAAGGGCAGAGUGGGUGAUGUUUGCAUGCUUCUCUCUGUUGGCGCGGAUUGUCAUUCACAGGACAAGAAUGGACUAACAGCAUUGGAUUGGGCCAAGCGAGAAAACCAGCAAGAAACUGCUGAAGUAAUAAAAGGACAUGUUGAAAGUGCCUUGACUGACACCCUGGAACAAAAACAAUUAGUUGACAAAUACCUAGCUACAAUUAACCCUGAACUUAUUGAUUUUGUUCUUAUAGAGCAGUUACUGAGGAAGAUAUGUAUUGAUUCAAAAGAUGGUGCAGUCCUUGUUUUCCUUCCUGGGUGGGAUGAUAUAAAUAAGACUAGGGAGAGGUUAUUUGCAAACCCAUUUUUUAAAGAUUCUUCCAAGUUUAUGAUGAUCUCUCUCCAUUCAAUGGUUCCAUCUAUGGAGCAAAGGAAAGUUUUCAAACGGCCACCUCAGGGUUGCCGCAAAAUCAUUCUUUCCACUAAUAUUGCAGAAAGUGCCAUUACAAUUGAUGAUGUUGUCUAUGUCAUAGAUAGUGGUCGAAUGAAAGAAAAAAGUUAUGAUCCUUAUAACAAUGUAUCAACCCUUCAGUCUUCUUGGGUAUCCAAAGCAAGUUCAAGGCAGCGUGAGGGACGUGCAGGCCGCUGUCAGCCUGGGAUAUGCUAUCAUCUCUUUUCGAAGCUUCGGGCAGCUUCUUUGCCGGAUUUUCAAGUUCCUGAAAUUAGGCGAAUGCCAAUUGAAGAUCUCUGUUUGCAAGUGAAGUUGAUCGAUCCCAAUUGCAAGAUAGAAGAUUUCCUGCGGAAGACACUGGAUCCUCCAGUUCCUGAAACCAUACAUAACGCAAUCACUGUUCUCCAGGAUAUUGGGGCUUUAUCACUAGAUGAACAAUUGACAGAACUAGGAGAGAAGCUAGGCUGCCUACCUGUUCAUCCAUUGACAAGCAAGAUGCUUUUCUUUGCAAUAUUGAUGAAUUGCCUCGACCCAGCUUUGACAUUGGCUUGUGCCUCCGACUAUAGAGAUCCAUUUACCCUUCCUGUGUUGCCUAAUGAAAAGAAGAGAGCUACUGCUGCUAAAUUUGAUUUUGCUUCACUGUAUGGUGGGCACAGUGAUCAGCUAGCAGUUAUAGCAGCCUUUGAGUGCUGGAAAAAUGCUAAAGGAAGGGGCCAAGAAGCAUGGUUUUGUUCUCAGUACUUUAUCUCUUCGAGCACCAUGAAUAUGCUGCAUGGUAUGCGUAAGCAGCUUGAGUCGGAACUAAUUCGUAAUGGGUUCAUUCAGGAAGAUGUCUCAUGCUGUAAUCUGAAUGCACAUGACCCUGGAAUAAUCCGUGCUGUGCUUGUUGCUGGUAUGUAUCCUAUGGUGGGGAGAUUCCUUCCACCUAGAAAUGGGAAGCGUUUUCAUGUAGAAACCGCAACUGGUGCUAAAGUUCGGUUGCACCCUCAUUCCCUUAUUUUUAAAUUAUCAUUUAAAAAAACUGAUGACUGCCCUUUGAUUGUAUAUGACGAGAUAACCCGUGGGAAUGGGGGUAUGCAUAUAAGGAACUGUACUGUUGUUGGGCCACUCCCAUUGUUAUUACUUGCAACAGAGAUCGUAGUUGCUCCUCCGAAGGAUGACAAUGAGGAAGAUGAUGAGGGUGAUGAUGAUGACAAUAAUGGAAGUGACGAUGCAGGUGAAGAUGAAAGUGAUGAGGAUGAGAUGGAAACAGAUGGCAAAUUGGGUGGAAACAAUUAUGAGAAAAUCAUGUCAUCUCCUGAUAAUUCAGUUACAGCAGUUGUGGACCGCUGGCUUUAUUUUGGGUCAACAGCCCUUGAUGUUGCUCAGAUUUACUGCUUGCGAGAGCGAUUAUCAGCAGCAGUCUUAUUCAAAGUAAAACAUCCUCGGGAAGUACUUCCUCCUGCCCUUGAGGCCUCAAUGCAUGCAGCUGCUUGUGUUCUCUCUUAUGAUGGGCUAUCCGGGAUAUCAUUACCUUUAGAGUCUGUAGACUCGCUGACAUCAAUGAUCCGUGCGACUGGGAUUAACAACUCUGCUCCAGGGAGGAGGAUGGGGCCAGGCCAGAAUUCAAAUGACUUCCUUAAAUCACUGAUUAGCCCUAACAUUCAGCAUACUGGUCCUUCGCAUUAUCACAAAGCUAGAUUUACAGGAUUCCAGAGGAAAUCAAACGGAAAUGAACUGUCAAGCCAAGAUUUUAUACCACCUGGUAAGAUCCCUUAUCAAAGGCCUCCAAUGCAGGGUCCCAAUUCAGUUGGUUACGAUUCAGGUACUCAUGAAUCUUCGAAUCCCAGGGGUGAUUCAUCUAAGCGGCAGCGUGGAAAUGCAUCCAAGAAGCAGUGGUUUAACUUUUAGAUUAAAUUGUAUAUUGUACACAGGAAAAUCCAGCUGCCUGCUGCCUUUUGCCUUUGCUGGAAUGGACCUAAAAUGGCUAGACUUUUCGAUCUCAUUAAUGACACAAGUUCAUCGAAAACUUGAAGCUUGAUGACUUCGAUUGCACUUGCUCUUAGUUUAGACAAUGAUCAGUUGGAAAUGUUUUACAUGAAAAACGUUUUUGAAAUUAGUGCCUAGAUAAAAUCACUGCUAGAGAUUUCUUCUCUUUUUCAUUGACAAUAAUUUUUACAUUGUGUUGGAUUCCAUUCUUCAUGAAAAAUCAGGUAUUUUCCUGGGUUGUAAAAGAACGGCAGGUUUGCUAAUAAGUUUACAGUUAACUGCAUGUUUGGUUUAUCUUGAAAAUAAA